This 379-nucleotide unclassified non-coding RNA is filed under the name soil metagenome. Its description in RNAcentral is "partial contains 5.8S ribosomal RNA, internal transcribed spacer 2, and large subunit ribosomal RNA". The stretch from base 1 to 120 matches the Rfam family "5.8S ribosomal RNA", at positions 35 to 154 of the family's 154-position model. The record is from RNAcentral.
GAUGAAGAACGUAGCGAAAUGCGAUAUGUAGUGUGAAUUGCAGAAUUCAGUGAAUCAUCGAAUCUUUGAACGCACAUUGCACUCCUUGGUAUUCCGAGGAGUAUGCCUGUUUCAGUAUCAUGAGCACUCUCACAUCUAACCUUUGGGUUAAAAUGUGGAAUUGGGAUGCGCCGGUUAUUAUAACGGCCCUCCUAAAAUUCAGUUCUUGGCUGCUUCCUACUACAGCAGUUUGGCCUAAUAGUUUUGAGUCUUCGAUUCAAAUCUUUGGCUAACAUUUGCUUCAGGAUGUCAGUCUUGAUAUACAGAAAUCUCAUUCAAACUUUGAUCUGAAAUCAGGUAGGGCUACCCGCUGAACUUAAGCAUAUCAAUAAGCGGAGGA